UCAUUACACAAAUAUGAAGGCGGGCUGGAACCUCUCGGGGUUACAGCCUUGCUGAAUUAUUCACCCUUGUCUUUUGCGUACUUCUUGUUUCCUUGGUGGGUUCGCCCACCACUAGGACAAACAUAAACCUUUUGUAAUUGCAAUCAGCGUCAGUAACAAAUUAAUAAUUACAACUUUCAACAACGGAUCUCUUGGUUCUGGCAUCGAUGAAGAACGCAGCGAAAUGCGAUAAGUAGUGUGAAUUGCAGAAUUCAGUGAAUCAUCGAAUCUUUGAACGCACAUUGCGCCCUUUGGUAUUCCAAAGGGCAUGCCUGUUCGAGCGUCAUUUGUACCCUCAAGCUUUGCUUGGUGUUGGGCGUCUUGUCUCUAGCUUUGCUGGAGACUCGCCUUAAAGUAAUUGGCAGCCGGCCUACUGGUUUCGGAGCGCAGCACAAGUCGCACUCUCUAUCAGCAAAGGUCUAGCAUCCAUUAAGCCUUUUUUUCAACUUUUGACCUC
Molecule: unclassified non-coding RNA, 496 nt
Filed under: Alternaria sp. ASL-6
Lineage: Eukaryota; Fungi; Ascomycota; Dothideomycetes; Pleosporales; Pleosporaceae
Also listed under: 1 other name
Description: sequence contains ITS2
Rfam family: 5.8S ribosomal RNA (bases 172-325)
Source: RNAcentral